This 321-nucleotide ribosomal RNA is filed under the name uncultured bacterium. RNAcentral describes it as "bacterial SSU rRNA". It matches the Rfam family "Bacterial small subunit ribosomal RNA", at positions 84 to 422 of the family's 1533-position model. The record is from RNAcentral.
GCAAUACGGGAGUGGCAGACGGGAGAGUAACACGUGGGAACGUGCCCUUCAGUUCGGAACAACCCAGGGAAACUUGGGCUAAUACCGGAUACGUCCGAAAGGAGAAAGAUUUAUCGCUGAAGGAUCGGCCCGCGUCUGAUUAGCUAGUUGGUGAGGUAACGGCCCACCAAGGCUACGAUCAGUAGCUGGUCUGAGAGGAUGAUCAGCCUCAUUGGGACUGAGACACGGCCCAAACUCCUACGGGAGGCAGCAGUGGGGAAUCUUGGACAAUGGGCGCAAGCCUGAUCCAGCCAUGCCGCGUGGGUGAUGAAGGCCCUAGGG